RNAcentral lists this ribosomal RNA (627 nucleotides) under Nebrioporus fenestratus. Its description in RNAcentral is "partial 16S ribosomal RNA". It matches the Rfam family "Bacterial large subunit ribosomal RNA", at positions 1828 to 2763 of the family's 2925-position model. Lineage: Eukaryota; Metazoa; Arthropoda; Insecta; Coleoptera; Dytiscidae. The record is from RNAcentral.
GUCCUUUAGAGUUUAUUAUUUAAGGUCUAGCCUGCCCACUGAAUUGUUUUAAAUGGCCGCAGUAAAUUGACUGUGCAAAGGUAGCAUAAUCAUUAGUUUUUUAAUUAAAAGCUUGUAUGAAUGGUUUGACGAAAUAAAAUCUGUCUCUAAAUAAUAAAAAGAAUUUAAUUUUUAAGUUAAAAAGCUUAAAUUUAAUUAAAAGACGAGAAGACCCUAUAGAUCUUUAUAUUAAAAUUAAUAGUUUUAUUUAAGAUUUUUUACAAAAUUAUUAUUUUUAUUAUUAUAUUGGGGUAAUAGGAAGAUUAAAAAAAUUCUUUUUAAUUUUAAUCAAUAAUAAUUGUUUAAUUGAUCCUUAAUUUAAGAUAAUAAGAUUAAGUUACCUUAGGGAUAACAGCGUAAUUUUUUUAGAGAGUUCUUAUCGAUAAAAAAGUUUGCGACCUCGAUGUUGGAUUAAAAAUUAUUCCAGGUGUAGAAGUUUGGAAAUUUUGGUCUGUUCGACCAUUAAAUUUUUACAUGAUCUGAGUUCAGACCGGCGUAAGCCAGGUCGGUUUCUAUCUUUAUUUAAUUAUUAUAUUUUAGUACGAAAGGACCAGAUAUAUAAUAUAAAAAUAUUUAAAUUUUGAAUAG